UCACUUAUGCACAAAAGAAAAGGGAGGAAAAGAUGAGACUUUCUUUUCCUUGAAGCUCUCUUGGAUGGUCUCCGAGUUUUCAACUUUUGAAAGACCUUCUUCCUUGUUGCUUGCUUCAUAGAGUCUUUACAAGGUACGAAAGUAGAUACCUCUAGUUCAUACACACAAACGUAGUGUAAGAGAUGAAGAAGAUGAACAAGAGGAGGUAAGGUGCUAGCCCUCUCCUCUUGGUGGUCAGUUCUAGCAUGGUCGAGUGGAGAAUUAUCUCCUCUCAAACCCACUCCAAAGUUGGAUUCUUCAAACCCUAGAAAGAAAACAGCCUAAUUGUGGCUUAUAUAAGCCAAUACAAAAGAUGAAGCAAAACCCCAUCCUUGUAUUUUAGCCAUAGUGUUUCUUGGGCUCAUUUAACUUAUGUUGUCAUACAACACAUGUUCUCUUGGUCCCAUU
This 447-nucleotide long non-coding RNA is filed under the name Prunus persica (peach). RNAcentral describes it as "long non-coding RNA (PPER_LNC007140)". Lineage: Eukaryota; Viridiplantae; Streptophyta; Magnoliopsida; Rosales; Rosaceae. The record is from RNAcentral.